RNAcentral lists this long non-coding RNA (203 nucleotides) under Musa acuminata (dwarf banana). RNAcentral describes it as "long non-coding RNA (MACU_LNC008918)". Lineage: Eukaryota; Viridiplantae; Streptophyta; Magnoliopsida; Zingiberales; Musaceae. The record is from RNAcentral.
UUGAAAAAGAAAAUGAAGGAAUGAGAGUAAGAGAGAGCAGGUGACUAUGCCUCUAUGUUCUGCAUGAGCUGCAAUUGUGGAGGAAAAAGAAAAGACAUAUGUAGAAAACGAAACAGAGAGAGGACACGGAGGAAAAGUAGAAGGAUUUGGGCUGGCACCUUCUUUGGAUCUUCAGAUCGAAAUCUUUGAAAGGCAAGUUUCCC